CAUACAUAUACAUUCACAUAUAUAUAUGUAUGCAGAUAUAGACGUAUGUAUAUAGAUUAGGAGAGGGAUGGAAGGCGGGCGCAAUGCCACAAGAUUUAAUAAAGUCUCGACUAGGCAAGGAGACGCGUACGUAACAGGGGCAUUUCGCAUAUCCGAGAAACCAAAAGCAAAGCCAAGAAAAUUAAAGGAAUACAAAGAAAACCAAUCAAGAAGAAGAAGAGCGAAAACUACUCAGAAGAACAUGAGGAAGCAGCAGCAGCGGCAGCCGGCAAAAAAUUGUGCAAAGUUUGUUUGUGCGAAAUCUUCAAAUAUCCGAUAUUAGAAUAGAAAUAGAGAAUAUUUUCUUCUUUUUUUUGCGUUUUCCAAUACUGAAAGCUUUUAAUGGCAUAUCUAUAUAUAAUUUCGAAUUUUUA
Drosophila navojoa is the source of this 413-nucleotide long non-coding RNA. The record is from RefSeq and is a predicted model, not a curated record. Lineage: Eukaryota; Metazoa; Arthropoda; Insecta; Diptera; Drosophilidae.